CUGAACCAGCCAAGUAGCGUGAAGGAUGACUGCCCUAUGGGUUGUAAACUUCUUUUAUACGGGAAUAAAGUUAGGCACGUGUGCCUUUUUGUAUGUACCGUAUGAAUAAGGAUCGGCUAACUCCGUGCCAGCAGCCGCGGUAAUACGGAGGAUCCGAGCGUUAUCCGGAUUUAUUGGGUUUAAAGGGAGCGUAGGUGGAUGCUUAAGUCAGUUGUGAAAGUUUGCGG
Molecule: ribosomal RNA, 227 nt
Filed under: uncultured Bacteroides sp.
Lineage: Bacteria; Pseudomonadati; Bacteroidota; Bacteroidia; Bacteroidales; Bacteroidaceae
Description: partial 16S ribosomal RNA
Rfam family: Bacterial small subunit ribosomal RNA
Source: RNAcentral